ACGAGUUUUAAUUGUUAGGUUAGAGUUGAGCUGGUUAAUCUAAUUAAUAUGUGCUUACUCUAAUCGAAACAAGUCCACUCAUUACUUAACACUUGUGAACUUAUUUCGAUUAGAGUAAGCACAUAUUAAUUAGAUUAACCAGCUCAACUCUAACCUAACAAUUAAAACUCGUUAAUGAUCCUUCCGCAGGUUCAUUAACGAGUUUUAAUUGUUAGGUUAGAGUUGAGCUGGUUAAUCUAAUUAAUAUGUGCUUACUCUAAUCGAAAUAAGUUCACAAGUGUUAAGUAAUGAGUGGACUUGUUUCGAUUAGAGUAAGCAUCAUAUGUCAUUAGAUAACAGUCAACUAACCUAACAAUAAACUCGUAAUGAUCCUCCGUAGGUUAACCUACGGAAGGAUCAUUAACGAGUUUUAAUUGUUAGGUUAGAGUUGAGCUGGUUAAUCUAAUUAAUAUGUGCUUACUCUAAUCGAAACAAGUCCACUCAUUACUUAACACUUGUGAACUUAUUCAUUACAAACAUUAUUAUUUGUUAUUGGAACGUUUGAUUAUUAAAAAGUUAAUA
RNAcentral lists this unclassified non-coding RNA (561 nucleotides) under soil metagenome. RNAcentral's name for it is "partial internal transcribed spacer 1". The record is from RNAcentral.